GAAAUAAUUAGUAAAAAGUGAAAGCUGCUAACUUAUCACUAUAGCGGUUAAACUCCGUUUAUAUUUCU
RNAcentral lists this transfer RNA (68 nucleotides) under Balta jinlinorum. Its description in RNAcentral is "tRNA-Ser". The record is from RNAcentral. Lineage: Eukaryota; Metazoa; Arthropoda; Insecta; Blattodea; Pseudophyllodromiidae.